AACGAACGCUGGCGGCGUGGAUAAGACAUGCAAGUCGAACGGGAUAACAUCUGUAGCAAUACAGGUGUUAUUUAGUGGCGAACGGGUGCGUAACACGUGGGCAAUCUGCCGAGAAGUGGGGGAUAGCUCGCCGAAAGGCGAAUUAAUACCGCAUAUGGUCAGGGACGACAUCUUCCCAACACCAAAGCCGGGGCAACCUGGCGCUUCUUGAUGAGCCCGCGGCCUAUCAGCUAGUUGGUGAGGUAACGGCUCACCAAGGCGAUGACGGGUAGCUGGUCUGAGAGGACGACCAGUCACACUGGAACUGAGACACGGUCCAGACACCUACGGGUGGCAGCAGUCGAGAAUUUUUCACAAUGGGGGCAACCCUGAUGGAGCGACGCCGCGUGGAGGAUGAAGGCUUUCGGGUUGUAAACUCCUGUCAUUUGAGAACAAGGUGCAGCGAUUAACUGUCGCUGCAUUGAUAGUAUCAGAAGAGGAAGAGACGGCUAACUCUGUGCCAGCAGCCGCGGUAAUACAGAGGUCUCAAGCGUUGUUCGGAUUCAUUGGGCGUAAAGGGUGCGUAGGCGGUUUGUCGCGUCUGCUGUGAAAACGCGGGGCUCAACCCCGCGCCUGCAGUGGGUACGGGCAGACUAGAGUGCAGUAGGGGAGACUGGAAUUCCUGGUGUAGCGGUGGAAUGCGCAGAUAUCAGGAGGAACACCGGUGGCGAAGGCGGGUCUCUGGGCUGUAACUGACGCUGAGGAGCGAAAGCGUGGGGAGCGAACAGGAUUAGAUACCCUGGUAGUCCACGCCGUAAACGUUGGGCGCUAGGUGUGGGACUCAUUCCACGAGUUCCGUGCCGCAGCUAACGCAUUAAGCGCCCCGCCUGGGGAGUACGGCCGCAAGGCUAAAACUCAAAGGAAUUGACGGGGCCCCGCACAAGCGGCGGAGCAUGCGGAUUAAUUCGAUGCAACGCGAAGAACCUUACCAAGGCUUGACAUGCAGGGAAAUCUCCCAGAGAUGGGAGGUCCGCAAGGGUUCCUGCACAGGUGGUGCAUGGUUGUCGUCAGCUCGUGUCGUGAGAUGUUGGGUUAAGUCCCGCAACGAGCGCAACCCUCGUCCUAAGUUGCCAGCAUUAAGUUGGGCACUCUGAGGAGACUGCCGGUGACAAACCGGAGGAAGGUGGGGAUGACGUCAAGUCAGCAUGCCCCUUACGUCCUGGGCUACACACGUACUACAAUGCUACGGACAAAGGGCAGCCAACCAGCGAUGGUGAGCAAAUCCCAUAAACCGUGGCUCAGUUCAGAUUGCAGGCUGCAACUCGCCUGCAUGAAGGUGGAAUCGCUAGUAAUCGCCGGUCAGCAUACGGCGGUGAAUUCGUUCCCGGGCCUUGUACACACCGCCCGUCACACCAUGGGAGCUGGUCAUGCCCGAAGUCGUUACCCUAACCCGCAAGGGAGGGGGAUGCCGAAGGCAGGGCUGGUGACUGGGGUG
This 1474-nucleotide ribosomal RNA is filed under the name uncultured bacterium. RNAcentral describes it as "bacterial SSU rRNA". It matches the Rfam family "Bacterial small subunit ribosomal RNA". The record is from RNAcentral.